UACGGAGGGGGCUAGCGUUGUUCGGAAUUACUGGGCGUAAAGGGCGUGUAGGCGGCUUUGUAAGUUAGGCGUGAAAGCCCCGGGCUUAACCUGGGAACUGCGCUUAAAACUGCGAGGCUAGAGAUCGGGAGAGGAGAGUGGAAUUCCCAGUGUAGAGGUGAAAUUCGUAGAUAUUGGGAAGAACACCAGUGGCGAAGGCGACUCGCUGGACAGGUAUUGACGCUGAGGUGCGAAAGCGUGGGGAGCAAACAGG
This 253-nucleotide ribosomal RNA is filed under the name uncultured bacterium. RNAcentral describes it as "partial 16S ribosomal RNA". It matches the Rfam family "Bacterial small subunit ribosomal RNA", at positions 524 to 776 of the family's 1533-position model. The record is from RNAcentral.